RNAcentral lists this unclassified non-coding RNA (350 nucleotides) under soil metagenome. RNAcentral describes it as "partial contains 5.8S ribosomal RNA, internal transcribed spacer 2, and large subunit ribosomal RNA". The stretch from base 1 to 120 matches the Rfam family "5.8S ribosomal RNA", at positions 35 to 154 of the family's 154-position model. The record is from RNAcentral.
GAUGAAGAACGUAGCGAAAUGCGAUAAGUAAUGUGAAUUGCAGAAUUCAGUGAAUCAUCGAGUCUUUGAACGCACAUUGCGCCCCCUGGUAUUCCGGGGGGCAUGCCUGUCCGAGCGUCAUUGCUGCCCUCAAGCACGGCUUGUGUGUUGGGCCCCCGUCCCCGGUUCUCCCCGGGGACGGGCCCGAAAGGCAGCGGCGGCACCGCGUCCGAUCCUCGGGCGUAUGGGGCUUUGUCACCCGCUCUGUAGGCCCGGCCGGCGCCAGCCGACACCCCAACUUUAUUUUCUAAGGUUGACCUCGGAUCAGGUAGGGAUACCCGCUGAACUUAAGCAUAUCAAUAAGCGGAGGA